Molecule: ribosomal RNA, 468 nt
Filed under: uncultured bacterium
Lineage: Bacteria
Description: partial 16S ribosomal RNA
Rfam family: Bacterial small subunit ribosomal RNA
Source: RNAcentral
GACGAACGCUGGCGGCGUGCUUAAUACAUGCAAGUCGAACGGACAGGCCAUGAUUUUGUUGGGUGCUCGAGUGGCGAACGGGUGAGUAACACGUGAGUAACAUGCCCUUGAAUUUGGGAUAACUUCAGGAAACUGGGGCUCAUAUAGGAUAGGAGCUCCUGCUGCAUGGUGGGGGUUGGAAAGUUUCGGCGGUUGUGGAUGGACUCGCGGCUUAUCAGCUUGUUUGUGGGGUAGUGGCGUACCCAGGCUUUGACGGGUAGGCGGCCUGGGAGGGGGACCUGCCACAUUGGGCCUGAGAGACGGCCCAGACGCGUACGGGAGGCAGCAGUGGGGAAUAUUGCACAGUGGCCGGAAGCGUGAUGCAGCGACGCCGCGUGCGGGAUGACGUCCUUUGGGUUGUAAACCACUGUCUCCUGUGACGAAGCGGGAGUGACGGUAAUGAGUAAAGAAGCACCGGCUAACUACGUG